UCGCAGCUUGCGCCGGCAGUCCCGUCAGAGUCCCCAGCCUUACCUGCUGGCAACUGACGGUAGGGGUUGCGCUCGUUAUGGCACUUAAGCCGACACCUCACGGCACGAGCUGACGACAACCAUGCAGCACCUCGCGGCGUGUCAUUGCUGACUACCUCCUUUCAAAAGUAUUCACGCCGCGUUUGAGCCCGGGUAAGGUUCCUCGCGUAUCAUCGAAUUAAACCACAUGUUCCUCCGCUUGUGCGGGCCCCCGUCAAUUCCUUUGAGUUUCACCGUUGCCGGCGUACUCCCCAGGUGGAGCACUUAACGCUUUCGCUGUAUCACCCAGAGCUCACUCGCUCCGGACAAUUAGUGCUCAUCGUUUACUGCGUGGACUAC
RNAcentral lists this unclassified non-coding RNA (378 nucleotides) under uncultured Muribaculaceae bacterium. Its description in RNAcentral is "contains 16S-23S intergenic spacer region". The record is from RNAcentral. Lineage: Bacteria; Pseudomonadati; Bacteroidota; Bacteroidia; Bacteroidales; Muribaculaceae.